Molecule: ribosomal RNA, 700 nt
Filed under: Levilactobacillus brevis
Lineage: Bacteria; Bacillati; Bacillota; Bacilli; Lactobacillales; Lactobacillaceae
Description: bacterial SSU rRNA
Rfam family: Bacterial small subunit ribosomal RNA
Source: RNAcentral
AAAUCUGCCCAGAAGCAGGGGAUAACACUUGGAAACAGGUGCUAAUACCGUAUAACAACAAAAUCCGCAUGGAUUUUGUUUGAAAGGUGGCUUCCGCUAUCGGUUCUGGAUGAUCCCGCGGCGUAUUAGUUAGUUGGUGAGGUAAAGGCCCACCAAGACGAUGAUACGUAGCCGACCUGAGAGGGUAAUCGGCCACAUUGGGACUGAGACACGGCCCAAACUCCUACGGGAGGCAGCAGUAGGGAAUCUUCCACAAUGGACGAAAGUCUGAUGGAGCAAUGCCGCGUGAGUGAAGAAGGGUUUCGGCUCGUAAAACUCUGUUGUUAAAGAAGAACACCUUUGAGAGUAACUGUUCAAGGGUUGACGGUAUUUAACCAGAAAGCCACGGCUAACUACGUGCCAGCAGCCGCGGUAAUACGUAGGUGGCAAGCGUUGUCCGGAUUUAUUGGGCGUAAAGCGAGCGCAGGCGGUUUUUUAAGUCUGAUGUGAAAGCCUUCGGCUUAACCGGAGAAGUGCAUCGGAAACUGGGAGACUUGAGUGCAGAAGAGGACAGUGGAACUCCAUGUGUAGCGGUGGAAUGCGUAGAUAUAUGGAAGAACACCAGUGGCGAAGGCGGCUGUCUAGUCUGUAACUGACGCUGAGGCUCGAAAGCAUGGGUAGCGAACAGGAUUAGAUACCCUGGGUAGUCCAUGCCGUAAAC